This 81-nucleotide transfer RNA is filed under the name Rhizoctonia solani 123E. It matches the Rfam family "tRNA". Rfam says of the family: Transfer RNA (tRNA) molecules are approximately 80 nucleotides in length. Their secondary structure includes four short double-helical elements and three loops (D, anti-codon, and T loops). Lineage: Eukaryota; Fungi; Basidiomycota; Agaricomycetes; Cantharellales; Ceratobasidiaceae. The record is from Rfam by way of RNAcentral.
GGCCGCCUGGCGAAAUGGUAUCGCGUCUGACUACGAUGCGUAUUAAUCAGGAGAUUGCAGGUUCGAGCCCUGCGGUGGUCA